CUCUGGGUCCAACUCCCAUCCGUGUCUAUCUGUACCCUGUUGCUUCGGCGUGGCCACGGCCCGCCGAAGACUAACAUUUGAACACUGUCUGAAGUUUGCAGUCUGAGUUUUUAGUUAAACAAUAAUUAAAACUUUCAACAACGGAUCUCUUGGUUCCGGCAUCGAUGAAGAACGCAGCGAAAUGCGAUAAUUAAUGUGAAUUGCAGAAUUCAGUGAAUCAUCGAGUCUUUGAACGCACAUUGCGCCCCCUGGUAUUCCGGGGGGCAUGCCUGUCCGAGCGUCAUUGCUGCCCUCAAGCACGGCUUGUGUGUUGGGCUUCCGUCCCUGGUAACGGGGACGGGCCCAAAAGGCAGUGGCGGCACCAUGUCUGGUCCUCGAGCGUAUGGGGCUUUGUCACCCGCUCCCGUAGUCCAGCUGGCAGCUAGCCUCGCAACCAAUCUUUUUAACCAGGUUGACCUCGGAUCAGGUAGGGAUACCCGCUGAACUUAAGCAUAUCAAUAAGCGGAGGAAA
Molecule: small RNA, 511 nt
Filed under: uncultured fungus
Lineage: Eukaryota; Fungi
Description: eukaryotic LSU rRNA
Rfam family: 5.8S ribosomal RNA (bases 130-283)
Source: RNAcentral